AGAUUGAACGCUGGCGGCAUGCCUUAUACAUGCAAGUCGAACGCGAAAGGGGGGCAACCCCCGAGUAGAGUGGCGAACAGGUGAGUAAUACAUCGGAACGUAUCCAGUAGCGGGGGAUAACUUCUCGAAAGAGAGGCUAAUACCGCACACGACCUACGGGUGAAAGAGGGGGAUCGCAAGACCUCUCACUAUUGGAGCGGCCGAUGUCGGAUUAGCUAGUUGGCGGGUAACGCCCACAAGGCUACGAUCCGUAGCUGGUCUGAGAGGACGACCAGCCACACUGGAACUGAGACACGGUCCAGACUCCUACGGGAGCAGCAGGUGGGGAAUUUGGACAAGUGGGCGCAAGCCUAGGAUCCAGCCAUGCCGCGUGAGUGAAGAGGCCUGGUUGUAAAGCUCUUCGGCUGGAACGGAAAGGUCCGUAGUUAACGACCACGG
This 438-nucleotide ribosomal RNA is filed under the name uncultured soil bacterium. RNAcentral's name for it is "bacterial SSU rRNA". It matches the Rfam family "Bacterial small subunit ribosomal RNA", at positions 26 to 472 of the family's 1533-position model. The record is from RNAcentral.